UACGGGGGGAGCAAGCGUUGUUCGGAUUUACUGGGCGUAAAGGGCGCGUAGGCGGCGCAACAAGUCACUUGUGAAAUCUCCGGGCUUAACCCGGAGCGGCCAAGUGAUACUGUCGUGCUAGAGUACGGAAGGGGCUACUGGAAUUCUCGGUGUAGCGGUGAAAUGCGUAGAUAUCGAGAGGAACACCUGCGGCGAAGGCGGGUAGCUGGGCCGACACUGACGCUGAGGCGCGAAAGCCAGGGGAGCGAACGGG
RNAcentral lists this ribosomal RNA (253 nucleotides) under uncultured bacterium. Its description in RNAcentral is "partial 16S ribosomal RNA". It matches the Rfam family "Bacterial small subunit ribosomal RNA", at positions 524 to 776 of the family's 1533-position model. The record is from RNAcentral.